AACUACCAAAAAAAAAGAAAAUAUAACACGUAAUACUUAUCAGAGCUGACACGGCUGACGUAACGACUGACCAAGAGGUUAACGCGGUGGACGGGAGUGGCUGGGACCUGCUUGUUCUGUGUGUCCAGCAGGGUCCCCAGACCUUCGAUGGAGAUGAUACAGACUAAUAACAUUUACAUCAGAACACAGAAUUGCCAAUUUUGGUUAAUGUUCUCAAAAAGUCAAUAUGUACCAUGUUCUUGACUUAGUCACUGCUGUUGUUUAGGGUGUCAUUGCGUGGCUAAAUGUACAAUUUUCUGUAAUGCGUAUAUGUAAAAAAAUUUAAAACCCAAAGGGUGUAGAAUGAGCCCUUUGUGAAAACUUCACACUUCCCAGCUUCUGCAUAACUUUGUAACCUUAUGAGCCUUAACAGAUUCCAGCAUUUCACUCUGAAAGAAUAAUUAGAUUAUGAAAAAUAAAUUUUCUCUGAUUUUUAUGUGUUUUUGACAGAUGCACAUCACUCGAGAGUCACGCAGCGUACAGUUUAUGUGCCAUAGCGCUUGCUCAGUCCUGGGACACAGGAUGGAUUUAGACCUUUGAGAAGGUGCCUAUACGAUGGGCUGAAUCAAUUGUGCUCUAUCUGUUGCUCUUUCAGCAAAGGAAGCCCCCUUCAAACUGUGGUCCAGGUAUCCAAUGAAGUUCCAUGUGGGUACAUCCCUUCACCAUGUAACCUUCACUGACCAUUGCUUUCAGGACAGGAUUUCACAAGAAGAAUGGUGUAGAAAGCAACUUGAGGAGCUUGGAAUGCAGACAAAUCCAAAAUCACUCCAGUGGAAACUCUAGCGGUGACAACGGCUUCAGGAAUGGUACACUUGAAGUGAAAGCUGAGCUGUUAGUAGCAACCCUUGAAUAUCUAUCUACAAGUAUGACCCAAAGGGAAGAGUAAACAAAUAGUUGAUGUAACUUUGGAACAGUGAGAUGCUUCUGUAUCACUUCAAAUAUGAACUGAUGAAGGAGGAUAUUAAUUGGUUUGAUGAACCCUACAAGCUGUAUGUUCGCCUCGUCCUUUGGCAGAUAAUAUUUACCAAAGAAAUUCAGUUGACUUUGAAGGGGCUUGGCUGUUCUGGGAUGAGAACCGCAUUAUUUUUUUUAAAGGCUUCCACAACAAAAUGGAGCAGGUGAAUGAAAGUAUGGAUCAUAGCUGCUAUACUGUAAUUCUGUAGGUAACACUUUCUAGUGGAGGCGAGCAUCAUUAACACACUCUUUGCCUCCUUAGCAGGUUUAAGAUUUUUUUUUUACUUUCGCCUCCUGAAGGGAAGAGGUACCAAUGAUGUAAUUACAAAAGGAUGAUAGUUUCUGCAGGAAUCAUCACUGAUGAUAUCUCCUGGGUCUCAGUGCAUCAUACUGACCAAUACCACGCCUCUUUGAUAUUAUUGCUAGUUGGUAUUCCCCCAUACUGAACUUCACAUACAUACGGCCAGAG
Long non-coding RNA from Harpia harpyja (harpy eagle), 1462 nucleotides. RefSeq lists it as uncharacterized. Lineage: Eukaryota; Metazoa; Chordata; Aves; Accipitriformes; Accipitridae. The transcript has 3 exons. The record is from RefSeq and is a predicted model, not a curated record.